RNAcentral lists this ribosomal RNA (434 nucleotides) under uncultured bacterium. RNAcentral describes it as "bacterial SSU rRNA". It matches the Rfam family "Bacterial small subunit ribosomal RNA", at positions 340 to 786 of the family's 1533-position model. The record is from RNAcentral.
UACGGAAGGCAGCAGUGGGGAAUAUUGGACAAUGGGCGAAAGCCUGAUCCAGCCAUGCCGCAUGAGUGAAGAAGGCCUUCGGGUUGUAAAGCUCUUUUAGUGAGAAAGAUAAUGACGGUACUCACAGAAGAAGUCCUGGCUAACUCCGUGCCAGCAGCCGCGGUAAUACGGAGAGGGCUAGCGUUAUUCGGAAUUAUUGGGCGUAAAGAGCGCGUAGGCUGAUUAGUAAGUUAAAAGUGAAAUCCCAAAGCUUAACUUUGGAAUUGCUUUUUAAAAACUGCUAGUCUAGAGAUUGAAAGAGGAUAGAGGAAUUCCUAGUGUAGAGGUGAAAUUCGUAAAUAUUAGGAGGAACACCAGUGGCGAAGGCGUCUAUCUGGUUCAAAUCUGACGCUGAGGCGCGAAGGGCGUGGGGAGCAAAACAGGGAUUAGAUACC